Long non-coding RNA from Dalotia coriaria, 624 nucleotides. RefSeq lists it as uncharacterized. The transcript has 2 exons. NCBI's taxonomy places the organism in Eukaryota, Metazoa, Arthropoda, Insecta, Coleoptera, Staphylinidae. The record is from RefSeq and is a predicted model, not a curated record.
UAAACAAUCCACUCCAAAUCAUAGUCAAACACUGUUCUGAAUUUAAAAAAAACUACAAAAAUGCGAAAAGUUUUGCGGAUUAUUGCUUUGUGCGUUGUUAGCACUUUGGCCGUACCGAAUCUCAAAAUUGCUAGAAAUGCCCUUGAAUUCGUUCGCAUGCAACAGCACUUGAAGUCUGUUGAUGGUGACCUCGCGGCUUGUGCCUAAAUCCAUGCAGGAACUGUUGCUAACGCCCUUUUUCCAAACUAUCUAUCCCUAGUAGGAUGCACAGAAGAUUGCGCUGGAGAAUUAGUUGCCCUUCAAGAAGAAAUCACAAUUGUUGUUGAAACUCUAGUUCAAGAUGUUGAAGAACAAGUUGCCGCUUUGAAAGCUUGUGGUGAUGAUCAAACAUGCAAAGCUAAUAUCGUAAAGGAAAUCGCUGAAAUUAUAAGUGCUACUAUUAAGGACCUGAAAGAAAUUGUUAAUAAACAUCUAACUAUCUUAGAAGACAAAUUUCCAGAAGCUGCUGAGUGUGCUCGAGCUUCUUUUCAAACAUUUGCUGAAACAGUAGAAACAGCUGCACAUGAUUUUGUUACUUGUCUUAAAAAUUAAAUACAAAAAACUUUUAUUAUUUCUGUACUUCAA